Molecule: unclassified non-coding RNA, 576 nt
Filed under: Hevea brasiliensis (rubber tree)
Lineage: Eukaryota; Viridiplantae; Streptophyta; Magnoliopsida; Malpighiales; Euphorbiaceae
Source: RNAcentral
ACAAAGAAAUUAUCAUGAAACCUCAUAACAGAAUGACGUUAAACGAACAUUUCAUUACUAGCAGAGAAAAACUAGGUCAUUUGCUAACUAAAACCCAAAUAUAAAUGGGCAGCAUCACAUAUUUUUAACUUUAUCAUUCCCAAGAUUAUCUGCAGCAAUAUUACUGGAUGAAAACACCAAAAUUUAUAAAAAAAGAAAAAAAGUUCUACUGGAUUUAAAAGAAAAGAUGUGAAAAACUAUAGAUUGGCACUGCAACUAGUGACUGCAUUUUUUUCCCUUUUCUUUUGAGAAACUAGGAAAAAAGUUUUAAAAAGUCUUAUUUGCCAAAAUUUCAAAAGUGCGAUUCAGUUAUGAGACAAUCUUUUAAAAGUUUAUUGCCAAACACAGCACAUAACAAUAGACAUCAGAAACUACAAGGAGCCUUGUGAUUCAUCAUGUCAUGUACCCAGACAUAAUCCAACAAAACAGGAUGCGAAGUUCUCAAAUUAAAAUAAAAAAUUAACAGCCUAAUGCGUUCCAUAAAAAUAUUCGUACCACUAAAUCAUGCAAUUAGGGAUAUGCAAAUGCAAAAUGAUA